UACUCUUGACAUCCAGAGAACUUUCCAGAGAUGGAUUGGUGCCUUCGGGAACUCUGAGACAGGUGCUGCAUGGCUGUCGUCAGCUCGUGUUGUGAAAUGUUGGGUUAAGUCCCGUAACGAGCGCAACCCUUAUCCUUAUUUGCCAGCGAGUAAUGUCGGGAACUCUAAGGAGACUGCCGGUGACAAACCGGAGGAAGGUGGGGAUGACGUCAAGUCAUCAUGGCCCUUACGAGUAGGGCUACACACGUGCUACAAUGGCCGGUACAGAGGGCUGCAAACUCGCGAGAGUAAGCUAAUCUCACAAACCGGUCGUAGUCCGGAUCGCAGUCUGCAACUCGACUGCGUGAAGUCGGAAUCGCUAGUAAUCGUGAAUCAGAAUGUCACGGUGAAUACGUUCCCGGGCCU
RNAcentral lists this ribosomal RNA (405 nucleotides) under uncultured bacterium. Its description in RNAcentral is "bacterial SSU rRNA". It matches the Rfam family "Bacterial small subunit ribosomal RNA", at positions 976 to 1381 of the family's 1533-position model. The record is from RNAcentral.